Molecule: ribosomal RNA, 648 nt
Filed under: Triticum aestivum (bread wheat)
Lineage: Eukaryota; Viridiplantae; Streptophyta; Magnoliopsida; Poales; Poaceae
Description: partial small subunit ribosomal RNA
Source: RNAcentral
AUGGAAAAGAGGGUGCUCGAUGACAUAGCAGAAAUCUGGGAAAGCAGACAAGAUUCAAAAGAGAGUGACAAAGUAAUAUUAGGCCCAAACUUUGUAGAGAUAUUCAUUCCAAUGGAGAAGCAUGACCGCUACGUACUAUAUGUGCUGGACAAAUAUAAACACAAAGUUCACAUUAUUGAUCCUCGAGAAGCGACUCCAGAGGAAUUUGAGAAAGAAAAGAUAGACAUGGAUAAAUUGGAUCCACAUGAAGCAUGUCGAGUUCUUCAGGAACAUGAAGACGCUCAAAAAGAAAGAAAAACACAGUUUCAGGAAUAUCACGCUCAUAAGUCGGCAAUCGUACCUAGGAUUAAAGAAGUCUUCAACACCAUACUUGAACAAACAAUGAAUCCAAAGAAAGCAAGAUGGCAGAUUCAUACCGUGCAAGAUGUUCCAGUGGUAGAAAAGGGCGAAUCACCAUUUGAUGUUUUAAAGCUUGCAUUCCUCUACAAUGGUGAAAAGUUUGUCGAAGACCUGGAAGAUUUGACAGAUGAGGUCGAAGACUGGAGGGCAGAGGCAAUGUACAUUCUCUUAAGUAGCGAGAUGAAUCAAGUCAAAGCUAGUGAAAUGGGUGACGAGAUUAGCAAGAUCUUUAGCAAGAAUGAAGACUAA